RNAcentral lists this long non-coding RNA (547 nucleotides) under Elaeis guineensis (African oil palm). RNAcentral describes it as "long non-coding RNA (EGUI_LNC077962)". The record is from RNAcentral. Lineage: Eukaryota; Viridiplantae; Streptophyta; Magnoliopsida; Arecales; Arecaceae.
GGUCCUCCGACCCUGGGGGAACGACGCUACUGAGAUCAAGCUCCGGAUACAGACCCUGGACUGCGCCCCGGGCGUCCUCGUACCCCACUCAGUACGAGAUGAAACCGCUCUCCAAGAGCUCCUCCCGAUAUUCGUCGGAGCCGCAGAAGUCCUCCACGGCCCGACUUAUUACCUCUUUCGCCGACUCUGCCUCCGCCCUCGCUAUGUCUACAUCGGCUUGAGCAAAGGACAAAUUCUCUUCGACCUUGGCGAGAUUUCCCAAACUUAUCCGGAGCUGCUCGCGUUCGGCUUUGAGUUCACCGACAUAGUCAUCCCGCUCGCGGCGCAGCCGGCGAACAGUGUGGCACUUUCAUUUGGCUUCCUCACGAGCCGACUGCAGCUCAGCCCCCGAGGUAGCCAGGGCAUCGAUAAGGUGGGAGACCUCCUCGGUAAGGCAGGAGAUCUCCUCUUCGAGCUGGGCCUCACGAUCGAUCGACUGUUUCAGCUGCUCGACCAUUAUCGCCUUCUCGGCCUCAGCGGCUGCGGCCCUAUCCUUCCAAGCCACCCA